This 1018-nucleotide long non-coding RNA is filed under the name Musa acuminata (dwarf banana). Its description in RNAcentral is "long non-coding RNA (MACU_LNC009709)". The record is from RNAcentral. Lineage: Eukaryota; Viridiplantae; Streptophyta; Magnoliopsida; Zingiberales; Musaceae.
UAAUAGGCGUAAGACGUAAGCUAAGAUACGCUGAAAGUCCGGUUUUAUAUCGGUAUCGAAAGCCCCGGUUCCAUUCUUGGAUUUAGUAGUAGAAAGAAUGGUAGGUUGUGCUUGGACUUACUAGUUCAAUUAUGAUAACUUACUAGUGCUAUUAUGAGAAGUAGUAUUCAUAUCUUUUUGAUUAUAAGGUUGUUUCUGCGUUCAACUCUGAUUAGCAGGGGAAUAAGAUUAGGAUUCCUUAGUGGCAGGCGGGUCUUAUUGGAUAAGUAGUCAAUCCCUAGUUCCUUGUUUCGGUCCAAUAGAUAGUAGCGAUAGCCUUGUUAGCAUCAACUCGAUUCUUUUAGUGAAUAGGGAAAGCCCUAGUUCCUUGUUGUUGUCUUGUAGGGUAGGGCCCCAGUCUCGUAUUCCCCAGUUCCACUCUUUAUUACAUAAGUGAAAGUACGAAAAGCACUGGUAGAUCAAAAGCAAAAGGAAAAAAGUGAUUUCAUUAUCCAUCCUGCCUGUCCUAGGUAUAGCAACAGUCAAAAAUCCUCUGUGCUAAGGGAGUAGUCAAACCCAUGUGUUCAGCAAGUAGUAAAUAGAGAAGUAGUUGCUAAGUUCACUUGUCUCGUUGCUUGGCCCUCGGAGUUGUUUUACGAUCAAUUCAGCUGUAUAUUGUAAGUUCUUCCAUCGGGAUCUUUAAGGCUAACUCAAUUUAUCGAUCACGGACUAUCUUGCCACAACAAGAGAGCCUCGUUAUUGAAGCAUUCUUCUGCCAAAGCAAAGGAGUAGUGGAUAAUGGCUUUUCCGGUGUAAGGAAGACUAUGCCGAUCCCGGCUUUCUUCGGAUCGGACCGCUUUUCUCCGUUCGGGCUCAUGAGGACAGGGGGUUUCAUCAGAUAUGCUUUGAUGCUGUCGAAAGGAAAGCAUUCUGGCAACCCGAGGAGUCCUUUCCCUAUUAGAGUAGAGAAUGGGAUGACCCCUAAGGAUAUAAACCAUAGGAUAUAGGCGAGUCCCCCAUUUAGGCUUGGAUUUUCCAC